Nicotiana tabacum (common tobacco) is the source of this 1642-nucleotide long non-coding RNA. RefSeq lists it as uncharacterized. NCBI's taxonomy places the organism in Eukaryota, Viridiplantae, Streptophyta, Magnoliopsida, Solanales, Solanaceae. The record is from RefSeq and is a predicted model, not a curated record.
GCCACUCUUGAAAUCCUAGUCGGUAUAAAUCUUCAUAUGUUUUCCUCUAUAUUGAGAGAAAAUACACUACACAAAAUUUUGAUAUAAGUAGAACAAAUGUGAGCAGAUUCAAGGGAAAUCACAUGGCCAUGCACGUAGAAAAGGAAAAGAUGGAGAAAUUUAAAGAAAUCCCAUCUGAAAUUGUGUCUCAAGUUUUAACUUAUCUACCCAUUAAGGCUUUGAACAGAUUUAAGUGUGUAUCUACUUCUUGGUUUUUAAUAAUUUUCCAGCAUAGGCCUUACGGCCGCAUACCGGUCAAUAUUUCAUCGAAUUCGGUGAAAAACGCCUCUUUUUCGCAUCGAUUCGUGUAGGAAUGUUGCAGCACGAGAAAAUUCAAGAUUUAGAGCCGGAAACAUUUGUUCGUCAAUUAAGUUUGCCCUAUUUGGUUUACUAAAACAUUACUCCAGUGGUAAACGGACUGCUUGUCUUUGCACGGACCAUCAAAUCACUUUUUAAUAUUUCUAGGUGUAAUAUUAUGAACCUUUCCUCGUCAAGUUUAAAUCUUGAAUCAGCUCGUAAAAUUUGGUAUGCACUUGAUUUUGAUCCUAUAGACAAUGUGUAUAAAUUGCUUAAAGUAUCUUCCAUUCAUACACCAAAAGUAACCAAGUUUUCCGAUUGGUACAAUAGUUGCGACGAUGAUCAUCAAACUUCUUUAUGGAAUAAAAUCACUAUUCAUCAAAAAUACUUUGAUGAAGCAACACCUAUUGGGAAUUUUCCUAGUGGUGAGUUGUUACUUGUUUGCUUUGAACGUCAGAAGAUGGAGGGCACAUUUUUUACUUAUGAUGCAAUAACGAAAAAAUUACCAAAUUGAAGAUUGAGCUACCUAGAUCACUGGCGUUGGCACGUCGAAGGGCAUAUCCUGCUCAUAUGUCUUGUCUUUUCGACGAUUUGUCAAAUGAUGCUCCACUUGAUAAUUUAUUUGGAAAUUAGAAACAAAUGACUAGCAGUGAUUACGAGAUAUUAAAGUUUGAUGAGUUCAAUCUUUACUGUUUUUGUUACUCAAUUUGUUUUGGAACGACUACUUUUGGAAUUAUUGAUUCAAAUUAAAUAUUUUCACAUACAUAUUUAUAUAUAGUCAAAAUCGAGCUUGCCCUUCAUAUGACUAAUCGAGACUAGAACAUGAUAGAUCAAGGUUCAACCUCAUAUAAUAUUAAGUUGUGAUGCGAAGUUAGGUUGCCGAGAUCGUGACCCAGAAACCGACCAAGAUCAAAAUCGGUCAAGAUUGAGGCCGAGAAAAAUAGAGACCGAUCGAUAUCAUGAUCAUCCAAGAUUGAGACCGAGCAAAAUAGAGGCCGAUCGAGAUCAUGAUCGGCCAAGAUCGAGAUCGAGCCAAAAAAUAAAAAGCCGGUAUAUCCGCAAUUAGGGCGAGAAUCUCGGCGAGAAUCCCGACGCAUAUCAAGGAGAGGCAAAUUAAUUAAUCUAUCAUGAAAUUCCUUAUGUAUUUAGAAUUAUAAACAAAGUAGGACUUCCCCACUAUAUAAAGGGGAUUUUGAUCAUUUCUAGAGCACAUUCGGAGGCAAUAAAAACAACACAUUACCUUCUUUGAAAGCUGGAUUAUCUUGUUACUUUGUUCUUACAUUAGCAGAAUCCUUACUUGUUUUGA